AUGAGGGUGUCACAAUUCGGGGGUGAAGUGUCACAGGUCUGGGUGGGCAUGGGGCAGGCAGCGGGGUGGGGGGCCAGGGGUCGAGGGGGAAUAUCAGGGAGCAGGCAGACACCCACACUGCCCGGCUCAUUGUCCACCAAGACGCACCCUGGUCUGCGUUGCUGCCCCGUCAGACACAGUAGGGAAAUGCUGUGCUUGCACCCGCGCCUUGAUGGAGGGGCUGGCAUUUCCCUUGCACCCAGCUGCAUCCCCAUGCAGAGCACCAAAGAAAACCACUCUGGGCAGGUCAUCCACGUCCCUGCCAGGCUGCUCGUCCUCUCUACACAGUGCCUUGUGUCUGUCCUGCCUGACCAUGUGGUCAGGUCCAUAGAUGCUGCUCCUGAGAGCACGUUACAGGCUUAGCCACCUCUUGGAUGGAGACGCCGAUGAUUAGCUUGAGGACAGAGCACAGCAAGCUGUCUGAGCCUGCACAGCCAGCACAUUGUCCAGGGCACCUGGGAAGUCAUUUUUCAUCCGAGAUAUCUUCUCCCCUCCAGGGCCGGCUGAAUUACGUAAGGUUCUUUGGACCCCAGACAGGCGAAGUGGGGUUAUAGCACCAUGUGAUCUCAGCUACAUUUCCCAUCUCAGCGUCCUGGUUUUGUGCACAGACAUGGUAACUUGGCUCCUUUCCUGCUUGGAAACAUUUGUUUGGAUGUUCUGAGGCUUUCUCGAGGUUGUGGACCCCCGCCAUAGGGUGUUACAUGGCUUUAGAUAAGAAAUCUCCAUAAAACUGCAAGCAAUGUGUCUUCUGCAGUAAAUCUUUCUUCUUAGUCGAGAGUGAAGCAGUCACAUUAUGUUGCUUUACAUUGCAGCCCACCUGUUGCAAGGAAAGUGCCAAGAAAAUUGUACACCAGUGGGAAAGUGUAGAUUGCAUGUAUGGCUUGGACCCAGCGAGAGUCUGUGGGACUGUGGGAUACACAUUUGAAAAAUCACCCCACAUCUCUGAGGCUUUCUUUGUGCAGUAGGAAGGGAAUCCCUGGCUAAGCGGAGACAAGCAAUGUGCUGGCUCAGAUGCUGCAGCCAUAGCUGCUAUUAUGGGAUCUUUAAGGUUGGAAAACCUUAGGUUAGACCUCCGAGACCUUUGCAUUGCAAGGAAAGAGGAUCAGCUGGGCGCUGGGUGGACAGAUCCUGCACCUCGGGGCGCAGGACGGAGGUGUGGGCUUCAUUUCCCUGCUUGAGCUCAGGGCACUGGGCUGCCCCUGCCUGCAGGUACAAGCCUCCCACCCCACAAAGCCAGGGGCUUGCUGCCUAAACAGGAGGUGUGUGAGUCCAGAAAAGCCCCAUACCGAGUGGUUUAAAUGCUAUCUCUUUAUCUACUGGGUAAUUGCUGCUAAUUUAUUACUGCCAUAAAGAUUUUAAAAAC
Molecule: long non-coding RNA, 1402 nt
Filed under: Anser cygnoides (Swan goose)
Lineage: Eukaryota; Metazoa; Chordata; Aves; Anseriformes; Anatidae
Description: lncRNA (ENSACDG00005005252.1)
Source: RNAcentral